Molecule: transfer RNA, 66 nt
Filed under: Torymus sp. ZJUH_2016035
Lineage: Eukaryota; Metazoa; Arthropoda; Insecta; Hymenoptera; Torymidae
Description: tRNA-Asp
Source: RNAcentral
GAAAAAUUAGUUAAUUUAUAAUAUUAAUUUGUCAAAUUAAAGUUAAUGAAAUUUUAUUAUUUUUUG